GCCUGGGUGGCUCAGUGGUUGAGAGCAUCCUUUCAGCCCAGGGUGUGAUCCUGGAGUACCAGGAUCGGAUCAUGAUCCUGGGGUCGUGGGAUCGAGUCCCACAUCGGGCU
This 110-nucleotide transfer RNA is filed under the name Canis lupus dingo (dingo). It matches the Rfam family "tRNA". Rfam says of the family: Transfer RNA (tRNA) molecules are approximately 80 nucleotides in length. Their secondary structure includes four short double-helical elements and three loops (D, anti-codon, and T loops). Lineage: Eukaryota; Metazoa; Chordata; Mammalia; Carnivora; Canidae. The record is from Rfam by way of RNAcentral.